This 31-nucleotide non-coding RNA is filed under the name Mus musculus (house mouse). Lineage: Eukaryota; Metazoa; Chordata; Mammalia; Rodentia; Muridae. The record is from RNAcentral.
UAAUCACUAAGUAAUGUUGCCAAAAAAGGUU